GACGAAGGUGGCGAGCGUUGUUUGGAAUCACUGGGCAUAAAGCGCACGUAGGCGGCGAUGUAAGUCGGGUGUGAAAUCCCUCGGCCCAACCGAGGAACUGCGCCCGAAACUGCAUUGCUUGAGGAUCAAAGGGGUGCUCGGAAUUUCCGGUGGAGCGGUGAAAUGCGUUGAUAUCGGAAGGAACGUCGGCGGCGAAAGCGGAGCACUGGUUGAUUUCUGACGCUGAGGUGCGAAAGCCAGGGGAGCAAACGGG
Molecule: ribosomal RNA, 253 nt
Filed under: uncultured prokaryote
Description: partial 16S ribosomal RNA
Rfam family: Bacterial small subunit ribosomal RNA
Source: RNAcentral